AUGAACGCUGGCGGCGUGCUUAACACAUGCAAGUCGAACGGAGCACCCCUGACGGAGUUUUCGGACAACUGAAGGGACUGCUUAGUGGCGGACGGGUGAGUAACGCGUGAGCAACCUACCUUGGAGUGGGGAUAACAGCUGGAAACAGCUGCUAAUACCGCAUGAUAUGUCUGUAUCACAUGGUACUGGACAUCAAAGAUCUAUCGCUCUGAGAUGGGCUCGCGUCUGAUUAGCUAGUUGGUGAGGUAACGGCCCACCAAGGCGACGAUCAGUAGCCGGACUGAGAGGUUGGCCGGCCACAUUGGGACUGAGACACGGCCCAGACUCCUACGGGAGGCAGCAGUGGGGAAUAUUGGGCAAUGGGCGCAAGCCUGACCCAGCAACGCCGCGUGAAGGAAGAAGGCUCCCGGGUUGUAAACUUCUUUUAUCAGGGACGAAGCAAGUGACGGUACCUGAUGAAUAAGCCACGGCUAACUACGUG
Molecule: ribosomal RNA, 481 nt
Filed under: uncultured Oscillospiraceae bacterium
Lineage: Bacteria; Bacillati; Bacillota; Clostridia; Eubacteriales; Oscillospiraceae
Description: bacterial SSU rRNA
Rfam family: Bacterial small subunit ribosomal RNA
Source: RNAcentral